Molecule: RNA transcript, 3576 nt
Organism: Ornithorhynchus anatinus (platypus)
Lineage: Eukaryota; Metazoa; Chordata; Mammalia; Monotremata; Ornithorhynchidae
Gene name: ethanolaminephosphotransferase 1-like
Exons: 13
Source: RefSeq, a predicted model, not a curated record
CCCGGGCUUUUUCCACUGAGCCACGCUGCUUCUCAUGGGGCUCGCGUGGAAGUUGGUGUUGGAAUAAGGACCUGUGAGGCUAUGCAUCUGAAAUCCCAAGCCACGAGGGCAUUUUCUUUUGAAACUUAUCCAGACAAAUAAAUAUCUCAGCUGGAGCUCCUCUCCAGCGCUAGACAUAAACAGGUGAAAUGGUUCACGUGGAAAGAUUCCCUGGCAAUGAAUCAAAUGUCCCAGUCUCUUCAGCUGCUGUCUCUGCAUCCACCCAGGAUUUCCCAAAGAGUGAAGCAUGAAACCUCCAAGAGGUUAGCUUAGGCAGCCACUACACCGCCUUAGGAGCCCAGCUGGUAAUUCCUCGCACAGAAGGAUGGAAGGAAGUUUCUCACUUCUCUGUGACUAGGGGUCGCCCAUCGCGGCAGACGGUGGCCCUCCCGAAGCGCGACACUUUAGCAGCCACGAUGGAAGCCGAGGGUCACAUCUGUGGCUAAUGAAGGUGCCCGGCCGGAGGAGAGGAUUCCCCGGGAGCGGCCUCCUGUUGACUCAGCCCCGGGCGCAGCGUGUCGCCCAACCCCCAGCUCCUCUGCCGCUCCGCCCCCGAGGGAAGCCAACAUGUUGCGGAGGAGCUAUGUCACGGCGCAGCAGCUGGCGGGCUUCGAUCGCUACAAGUACAAUGCUGUUGAUACAAACCCUUUAUCAGUGUAUGUUAUGCAACACCUUUGGAACAGAAUUGUUAAGAUAGUGCCAUUGUGGAUUGCUCCUAAUCUGCUUACCUUUUCUGGAUUCUUGUUGAUUUUGAUUAAUUAUUUGAUAUUAUGUCUUUAUGACUGGGAUUAUUCUGCAUCAGGUUCUGGACGUAUUCCAAAUUGGGUGUGGUGGUUUGCUGCUCUGUCUACCUUUUGUGCUUACACUUUAGAUUCUAUAGAUGGGAAACAUGCUCGGAGGACUCAGUCCUGUACCCCUUUAGGAGAGCUAUUUGAUCAUGGGCUGGAUAGCUGGGCUAUCUCCCUUUUCAUUCUCUCUUGGUUCUCUGCAUGUGCAAGUCCAGAGGGGACUCCUGGAGUUUCUGUGCACACGAUGUAUUUGUCGCUGAUCGUUGUCUUGUUUAACUUCAUGUUUUCCCACUGGGAAAAAUAUAAUACUGGAGUUCUCUUUCUCCCUUGGGGAUACGAUCUAAGUCAAGUGGCACUAGUAGCAGCAUAUGUGCUGACUGCUUCAGUUGGUGUUGAAAUAUGGUAUAGGCCUUUGGUGUUCGGUUAUUACAUCACAGCUGUACUAAUGACCUUGAUUAUAGGCUGCAGCAUAUUUCUUUCUCUCCCCCAGACAUUGCACAAUAUUCACAUGGCAUAUGUGAAGAAAACCCUGAAGAAAGAUUCUUUAUAUGAAGCACUUUUACCUCUGGUGUCACCUGUUAUCCUGUUUCUCCUCCUCACUGCCUGGGUGGCUUUAUCUCCAUGUGACAUACUAAUCAAACAACCCAGACUAUUUUUGUGGAUGGUUGGUGUUGCCUUCUCCAAUGUUACUUGCAGGGUGAUUAUUUGCCAGAUGAGUAACACCAGAUCUGAACCUUUCCACUGGCUGCUGUUUCCAUUAGCUGUUGUGGUCUUUGCAGCAAUAACAGGGCUUCUUGGAAGGCUAGAGGAAUCAAUACUGACUGUGCUGACUGUUCUGGCCACGGCCGCUCACGUGCACUAUGGACUGUGUGUGGGUCGUCAGUUGAGUCAACACUUCAACAUUUACACCUUUUCUAUGAAGAAACCAGUCCAGGAAUAAGCACUUUUCCACACAGAAAGAAUCCAGUUCUUCUGUGGCUUUCUGAAGCAAGAGUUUCUUCAGGAAGGGAGACCUACUGGACCCAAAUGAGCAAAGCAUCGUCACUCACUCAAUGAACAUAACGGACUAAAUAUUCAACCUGGUAUGCUUCUUUAUGUUUAAAGUCCAGCGUUCCCCAGCUCCCACCUUGAAGAGAUCUCCCAGGCAUGGGUGGCUGUAUGGUCGGGCAAGGCCCAUUGACAACUCACCUGGCCAGGGCAAGGAAAAAGCACUUUUGAAGCAUGAUGCAGACUACUGCCCAGAACCUAUUUGCCAGGUACUGUGAUCUGAGUUGGAUGCCAACCUAACCAACCUCUUCUCCUGGCUGAACGCGAUCUCUGCUCCAUUAACUAGAGCAGAGGGGUUAAGCAGACCCAUAUGCCAACCAUACAGGGGUUUCUGUUGGAAUACAUGACUUCUAACGGUGGAGUGAAUGUUCACAAUGCUCUGUGCACUCAGACUUGGUGUGUAUACAGAUAAGGUAACAUAAGUCUUAAUGAUAGCAUGAAUUUGCACCCACCUUUGAACUUGAAGGAGAAUGUGAAUUGACCCAUCCCCUUUUGGUCUUCAGUUUAGUAUUUUGGCUUCAGGGAUCUGAGAAGCACCUCAGAAUUUAAUUUAGGCAGGCUCCCCAAAAUCUUUCACCUCUUAACUUCAACACCCCCACCCCUCCACUCUCCCUACUCAUAAUCUCACUAAUAGGGUAAUGAUGGAAUACUUCAAGAUUUAUUGUGGAUUCAAUAAGAUGGAAUAAAUAUAUCUUAUUCUGAGCAUAUGUGAAUGAUUGAUGACUUUUUUUCCAGAAAGUGGCUCUUUGUUUGGGUGACUGUCACCUUAAAAUAUAUCUGUGGGGUUAUCAACUAUUUAUGGGAAUGAAACUGGCCCCUUUUUAUAUUCUGCUGUUUCCAGCGUGAGGUCUCUCACCAUUGGGAGAGGCUCAGAGACUGUAUUCUGACCCUCAUGUCUCAAUCUGAAAGGAAAUCAGAGGUAAUUCAAUCCUGUCCCCUUUAGUAUUUUCACAUAUUUUCCUACAUCCUUUCCUACCUUUAAAAAAUGGUUCCUCUAAGUGCAUAGUAACAGAACUCUGAUAUGGUAAGGAAACCAAAACUGACCUCUAGAUGGUGCUUGAAAGCAAUUUAGAUGUCUACUUUCCCCCUUUAUCCUCUGUCCUUCUCAGUCCCCUUUGACUUUUGUGGCAUAAUCUAUUCUUGCCCCUGAGCUAGUUUCAUGAUUUUCUUCCUCAGUUCAUUUCCAGUUGGGUUUUUAAGUAAGAAAGAACACCCAUCCAGAAGCCAAUUUACCAUUUAGUUUCUCUGUCUCAGGAGGUUUAUGGAAACUUUCUCAAGUGCCGCAGGUGUUGCUUACCCUCUUCCAGCAGCUUUCUCUGGAACCACCCCUCUCUGGGCUUAUCUGAUGGAGGUACAGCACUGGUUCUUUGUAAGUGGAAAAGUUUUCAGAAGGUGAGAAAUACUGCCUACUAUUUUGUAUUUGGUAUUUGCAGAGAUAAAUUUUUAAAAAUUGAUAUAGUUACCAGAUUCUUAGAGAAGGAGGCUCUGAAUCCUAAAUGUUGACUCCCACUAAGUCUUCCGCUAGCAAGGGCUAUCGUAAUGCUAGGCGUGUAGUGUACGAUAUGUGUAAAGAUAUAUAGAAUUCAACAGUUACGUAACCACAUCCCAAAUAAGCACAGGCCUAACAGAAACUUUAAGUAGUCUGUACAUCUGGGCAGAUUUUAACAUAUACCUUUUUUUAUUAAAUAUGUAAAAAGAUAAA